Helianthus annuus (common sunflower) is the source of this 609-nucleotide long non-coding RNA. RefSeq lists it as uncharacterized. The record is from RefSeq and is a predicted model, not a curated record. Lineage: Eukaryota; Viridiplantae; Streptophyta; Magnoliopsida; Asterales; Asteraceae. The transcript has 3 exons.
CACCACCAUCAUCAUCAUGAGAUAUUACGUCGAACCCUAAACGGCAGUCGGCGCUCCUUCCCCUCAAGGCCAGUUACCCUUCAAUUCAUAUCUUCUUUAUGACGGAUGUUAUUUCAAAAUUAGGGCUUUUAUCUAUGUUGUUCGAUUCUUGCAGGUAAUCCACCAAGGGCGUAUCCAUCACAGCAAGGGUAACCACCUCACUACGGCGCGCAAACUUGCUGUGAAACCAAUUGACAUUCUCUCUAUGCUGAUCUGAGUUACAACCAAGUGAUAGUGUGAAGGAAACCCGUGUAACAAGGAUGAGGUGUCUCAAAAUGGUUCACCGCGGCGCUUAUGGUUCCUGCGACCCUCUGUGUACUCCGGUCAAGACGCCAAUGGAUCUCAACCCUAACAGUGGUGGCAGCGAUGCAUGGUCCAGAACAACUACUUCAACCGAUUCACUAGCGAAGAGGUUGUUCGAACCAAAUACUUCGAUAUGCCCUCUUUGGGUUGGCGGAUGGGUCGGGUUGUGGCGAAGGAUGUUGAGGCGGUGCCGGUGGCUUAGCCGUGGAAGGCGUUGGGUUGGUGGAGACACAAGCCUCAGUUUUGGUAUGCUUCAUUUUUAUUUAC